AUGGCUGUCGUCAGCUCGUGUCGUGAGAUGUUGGGUUAAGUCCCGCAACGAGCGCAACCCUCAUUCUUAGUUGCCAUCAGGUUAAGCUGGGCACUCUAAGAAAACUGCCGGUGAUAAGCUGGAGGAAGGCGGGGAUGACGUCAAGUCCUCAUGGCCCUUACGGUCUGGGCUACACACGUGCUACAAUGGUGGUGACAGUGGGCAGCUAUACUGCAAAGUAAAGCUAAUCCCAAAAAACCAUCUCAGUUCGGAUUGGACUCUGCAACUCGAGUCCAUGAAGUUGGAAUCGCUAGUAAUCGUAGAUCAGCGUGCUACGGUGAAUACGUUCUCGGGCCUUGUACACACCGCCCGUCACGCCAUGGGAGUUGGUUUUACCUUAAGCCGGUGCGCUAACCGCAAGGAAGCAGCCGUCCACGGUAGGGUCAGCGACUGGGGCGAAGUCGUAACAAGGUAACCGUAGGGGAACCUGCGGUUGGAUCACCUCCUUUCUAAGGAUAUUGAUGUUUGUUUAGGCAAACAUCCGGAUUGUUGUCUAUUUAUCUCUUUAUAAUAUUAGCUAAGUGCUAGGUGUUUCCUUAAUCAAACUGGGCCGGUAGCUCAGUUGGUUAGAGCGCGCGCUUGAUAAGCGUGAGGUCGGAAGUUCAAGUCUUCCUCGGCCCACCAUUUAUUCAAGGGGGAUUAGCUCAGCUGGGAGAGCGCCUGAUUUGCAUUCAGGAGGUCAGCGGUUCGAUCCCGCUAUCCUCCACCAUAACCUCUAAUAUUAUAUCUUAUUUGUUCUUUAAACUUGUAAAUAUGAAACUAAUAACUGAUCAAAAUAAUUUUAUUAUUGAUUAAAAAUACGUACAAAAUUUUUCUCUGUACGUAAUUGCAAUCAAGCGCAAAAGGGCAUUUAGUGGAUGUCUUGGCAUUAAGAGACGAAGAAGGACGUGGCAGGCUGCGAUAAGCUAAGGGGAGUUGUCAACAAACUUUGAUCCUUAGAUAUCCGAAUGGGGAAACCCGG
Molecule: small RNA, 1000 nt
Filed under: uncultured bacterium
Lineage: Bacteria
Description: bacterial SSU rRNA
Rfam family: Bacterial small subunit ribosomal RNA (bases 1-488)
Source: RNAcentral